GAGUUUGAUCGUGGCUCAGGAUGAACGCUGGCGGCGUGCCUAACACAUGCAAGUCGAGCGGUAUAUAUUGGAUUGAAACUUCGGUUGAAUGAAGAUAUAGAGAGCGGCGGACGGGUGAGUAACGCGUAGGCAACCUGCCCCAUACAGAGGGAUAGCCUCGGGAAACCGGGAUUAAAACCUCAUAACGCGAGAGUAUCACAUGGUGCUUUCGCCAAAGAUUUAUCGGUAUGGGAUGGGCCUGCGUCUGAUUAGCUAGUUGGUGGGUAACGGCUACCAAGGCAACGAUCAGUAGCCGACCUGAGAGGGUAAUCGGCCACAUUGGAACUGAGACACGGUCCAAACUCCUACGGGAGGCAGCAGUGGGGAAUAUUGCACAAUGGGCGAAAGCCUGAUGCAGCAACGCCGCGUGAGCGAUGAAGGCCUUUGGGUCGUAAAGCUCUGUCCUUGGGGAAGAAAAAAUAGACGGUACCCUUGGAGGAAGCCCGGCUAACUACGUGCCAGCAGCCGCCGCGGU
RNAcentral lists this ribosomal RNA (514 nucleotides) under bacterium enrichment culture clone ALO1_GLFRUDD03FN4E2. RNAcentral's name for it is "bacterial SSU rRNA". It matches the Rfam family "Bacterial small subunit ribosomal RNA", at positions 9 to 524 of the family's 1533-position model. The record is from RNAcentral.